RNAcentral lists this ribosomal RNA (465 nucleotides) under uncultured Klebsiella sp. RNAcentral describes it as "bacterial SSU rRNA". It matches the Rfam family "Bacterial small subunit ribosomal RNA", at positions 338 to 795 of the family's 1533-position model. Lineage: Bacteria; Pseudomonadati; Pseudomonadota; Gammaproteobacteria; Enterobacterales; Enterobacteriaceae. The record is from RNAcentral.
CCUACGGGCGGCAGCAGUGGGGAAUAUUGCACAAUGGGCGCAAGCCUGAUGCAGCCAUGCCGCGUGUGUGAAGAAGGCCUUCGGGUUGUAAAGCACUCUCAGCGGGGAGGAAGGCGGUGAGGUUAAUAACCUCAUCGAUUGACGUUACCCGCGGAAGAAGCACCGGCUAACUCCGUGCCAGCAGCCGCGGUAAUACGGAGGGUGCAAGCGUUAAUCGGAAUUACUGGGCGUAAAGCGCACGCAGGCGGUCUGUCAAGUCGGAUGUGAAAUCCCCGGGCUCAACCUGGGAACUGCAUUCGAAACUGGCAGGCUAGAGUCUUGUAGAGGGGGGUAGAAUUCCAGGUGUAGCGGUGAAAUGCGUAGAGAUCUGGAGGAAUACCGGUGGCGAAGGCGGCCCCCUGGACAAAGACUGACGCUCAGGUGCGAAAGCGUGGGGAGCAAACAGGAUUAGAUACCCCGGUAGUC